UCAGUGACAUUGGGGUGCAUCGCCCGAUUCUCGGGCGCUGCUGAGAUCACACCCAUCGAACCUGCUCUAGCUAGCACUAGCGAAGGAAUUGUCCUUGGAAGACUU
This 105-nucleotide non-coding RNA is filed under the name Corynebacterium maris. Its description in RNAcentral is "TPP sequence". It matches the Rfam family "TPP riboswitch aptamer (THI element)". From Rfam's summary of the family: Vitamin B(1) in its active form thiamin pyrophosphate (TPP) is an essential coenzyme that is synthesised by coupling of pyrimidine and thiazole moieties in bacteria. The previously detected thiamin-regulatory element, thi box was extended, resulting in a new, highly conserved RNA secondary structure, the THI element, which is widely distributed in eubacteria and also occurs in some archaea. Lineage: Bacteria; Bacillati; Actinomycetota; Actinomycetes; Mycobacteriales; Corynebacteriaceae. The record is from RNAcentral. RNAcentral also lists the same sequence under 1 other name.